Molecule: long non-coding RNA, 819 nt
Filed under: Phaseolus vulgaris (common bean)
Lineage: Eukaryota; Viridiplantae; Streptophyta; Magnoliopsida; Fabales; Fabaceae
Description: long non-coding RNA (PVUL_LNC005250)
Source: RNAcentral
UGCAUUUAUUAUUUUAAAAAUGUGUAUUCCUCUAAUCAAGAGAGCCAAAUUAACAUAUUAGAAAUCAAAUAAAUAGUAUGUAUGAACUAAUAUUUGGUAAGUAGGAUCGAAUAUCUUCGCAUUGUAGGUAAUAUUUUCCAUUGCUUGUUUCUUUUUAUUGUUUCACACCUGAAAAGCACAGAUGAGUAAUGUAAGAACAAAAGUGUACUUAAUCUGAAAAAAAAAAAGAGGAAGCUGCAGUUAUCACUUAAUGAAGAAUGUAUAAGGUUUUUCUCUGUCAAAUACCCCAUAUCCAGAAAUAUUAAUUGACAUUCUUCCUGCAAUCCAUGAAAUGAAUCAAAAGAGUGAGAGACACGAAAUGUAAAACUUUUUUGCAAAGAUUCUGUGGCUUGAUAGUUUUGGCCCUUUGAAGUGAAGAUGUUAACUUUGUGCAAAUCUUCUAUAAAAAUGGGUAAGAGUAAUUAGUAUAACACAAAUAAAAAUUCAGACACCGAAAAAGUAGAGGUAUCAGUCAAACGUAGUGGAAAUUAUAGAUGAAGAAAGCAUAGGUUGGAUUACAAGAAGCUAAUAAGAGAGAUUACAUAUCUGCAAAAGUGGUUGUUGGUUGGGUUGAGGGUAACUUCACGUAGAAGUUAGGGUAGGCACGGAGCUUUUCUGUCUCAGAUAUUCAAACUCAGAGUGAGUCACAGUGGAUAUCUCCAAUAGCCAGCCAUAGGAAGGAUGAACAUUUAACAAAAAAAAGGAAGAUAAACAUAACUUCAUAAGAAAACAAAACAUUGCUCUCACCACUAAUCAACUUUUUUUUUUAAAUUCUCGAAC